This 792-nucleotide non-coding RNA is filed under the name Pan troglodytes (chimpanzee). Lineage: Eukaryota; Metazoa; Chordata; Mammalia; Primates; Hominidae. The record is from RNAcentral.
GUCAUUUGUAACCUGAUGCGUCCACCCUACUGCUGUGUCCGGUUUCCAUUGGCUGGAACGGGACCUCACAUUCUGUAUUUGUCCUGAUUGGGAAGCAACUUAAAACUUUUUAAAAGAGGCGAAGGCAGAAGAGAACAAAGGAAGGAGAAAGUAACUUGUGGAAUGGUGAGAAAGGCAUGAGGCGAAUUCUCAGCCGUGACAAGGCUGAAGGCCAGCAGGAACAGGCUCUAGCAAAAUGGGUGCUGUGUCCCCUUCCUGCAUGUGGCAGAAAGUUGCAAAGUUUCAUGGAUUUGAAUGUGAACAUCUGUUCCCUGGAUGCACUGCCAACAACGUGGUCCAACUGGUACUCAUCGUUGGAACUACCAAGUCAACUAAUUUUUUUUUUUUUUUGAGACAGAGUCCCACUCUGUCGCCCAGGCUGGACUGCAGUGGCGCGAUCACAGCUCACUGCAGCCUUGACUUCCCCAGGGUCAGGCGAUUCUGUCACCUCAGGCUCCCUAGUAGGUGAAGACUACAGGCAGACACCACCACAUCUGAGUAAUUACUUUUUGUAGAGAUGGGGUUUCGCCAUAUUGCCCAGGCUGGUCUUGAACUCCCUAAGGUCAAGUAAUCCACCUGCUUCAGCCUCCCAAAGAGCUGGGAUUACAGGCGUGAGCCACUGCAUCCAGCCAGUCAACUUUUAAUAAGGUCCUUGUUAGGUAUAGUGAGGGACAUGAGAUGAAAAAGAGCUGGACUGUCUUCUUGGAGCUUACAGGUUAGUUAGAGAAGAUAUUAAAAGACAGACGAGAUGGG